GGGAAGGUGGCUCAGCGGUAGAGUGCUUGUUUUGCAUGCAUGAGGCCCUGGGUUCAAUUCCUCAUACCA
RNAcentral lists this transfer RNA (69 nucleotides) under Dipodomys ordii (Ord's kangaroo rat). It matches the Rfam family "tRNA". Rfam says of the family: Transfer RNA (tRNA) molecules are approximately 80 nucleotides in length. The record is from Rfam by way of RNAcentral. Lineage: Eukaryota; Metazoa; Chordata; Mammalia; Rodentia; Heteromyidae.